AACGCAGCGAAGGGCGAUAAGUAAUGUGAAUUGCAGAAUUCAGUGAAUCAUCGAAUCUUUGAACGCACAUUGCGCCCCUUGGUAUUCCGAGGGGCAUGCCUGUUCGAGCGUCAUUUCAACCCUCAAGCACAGCUUGGUCUUGGGCCGCGCCGCUAACCCGGCGGGUACUUAAAAUCAGUGGCGGUGCCGGUGGGCUCUACGCGUAGUAAAUCUCCUCGCGAUUGACGUUCCCCCGGUGGCCUGCCACGAACCCCCAAUUUUUUACAGGUUGACCUCGGAUCAGGUAGGGAUACCCGCUGAACUUAA
RNAcentral lists this ribosomal RNA (306 nucleotides) under uncultured fungus. RNAcentral's name for it is "eukaryotic LSU rRNA". The stretch from base 1 to 113 matches the Rfam family "5.8S ribosomal RNA", at positions 42 to 154 of the family's 154-position model. Lineage: Eukaryota; Fungi. The record is from RNAcentral.